RNAcentral lists this unclassified non-coding RNA (381 nucleotides) under uncultured bacterium. Its description in RNAcentral is "contains 16S-23S intergenic spacer region". The record is from RNAcentral.
UCCGGUUUGUCACUGGCAGUCUCCUAUGAGUCCCCGACAUCACUCGAUGGCAACACAGGACAGGGGUUGCGCUCGUUGCGGGACUUAACCCAACAUCUCACGACACGAGCUGACGACAGCCUUGCAGCACCUCGACUGGACCCCCUUGCGGGGUAGCGAUGUUUCCACCGCCGUUGACCAGCCGUUCGAGCCCAGGUAAGGUUCUUCGCGUUGCGUCGAAUUGAACCACAUGCUCCACCGCUUGUGCGGGCCCCCGUCAAUUCCUUUGAGUUUCAGCCUUGCGGCCGUACUCCCCAGGCGGGGCACUUAUCGCGUUAGCUGCGGCACCGAAGGGGUCGCUCCCCCCGGCACCUAGUGCCCAUCGUUUACGGCGUGGACUAC